UUGCUGUGAUGACAAUCUUAGGACACCUUUGGAAUACCCAUGAAAAAAAAUCAAGUUCUUUCUGAGCAAC
This 70-nucleotide small nucleolar RNA is filed under the name Acanthisitta chloris (rifleman). RNAcentral describes it as "Small nucleolar RNA SNORD58". It matches the Rfam family "Small nucleolar RNA SNORD58". From Rfam's summary of the family: snoRNA U58 is found in introns 1, 3 and 6 of the ribosomal protein RPL17 gene in humans. U58 is a member of the C/D class of snoRNA which contain C (UGAUGA) and D (CUGA) box motifs. The record is from Rfam by way of RNAcentral. Lineage: Eukaryota; Metazoa; Chordata; Aves; Passeriformes; Acanthisittidae.